RNAcentral lists this ribosomal RNA (497 nucleotides) under uncultured bacterium. RNAcentral's name for it is "partial 16S ribosomal RNA". It matches the Rfam family "Bacterial small subunit ribosomal RNA", at positions 28 to 507 of the family's 1533-position model. The record is from RNAcentral.
GAUGAACGCUGGCGGCGUGCCUAAUACAUGCAAGUCGAGCGAACAGACGAGGAGCUUGCUCCUCUGACGUUAGCGGCGGACGGGUGAGUAAAACGUGGAUAACCUACCUAUAAGACUGGGAUAACUUCGGGAAACCGGAGCUAAUACCGGAUAACAUGUUGAACCGCAUGGUUCAACAGUGAAAGACGGUUUUGCUGUCACUUAUAGAUGGAUCCGCGCCGCAUUAGCUAGUUGGUAAGGUAACGGCUUACCAAGGCAACGAUGCGUAGCCGACCUGAGAGGGUGAUCGGCCACACUGGAACUGAGACACGGUCCAGACUCCUACGGGAGGCAGCAGUAGGGAAUCUUCCGCAAUGGGCGAAAGCCUGACGGAGCAACGCCGCGUGAGUGAAGAAGGUCUUCGGAUCGUAAAACUCUGUUAUUAGGGAAGAACAAAUGUGUAAGUAACUAUGCACGUCUUGACGGUACCUAAUCAGAAAGCCACGGCUAACUACGUG